This 70-nucleotide transfer RNA is filed under the name Acropyga myops. RNAcentral describes it as "tRNA-Ala". Lineage: Eukaryota; Metazoa; Arthropoda; Insecta; Hymenoptera; Formicidae. The record is from RNAcentral.
AGGAUUUUAGUUAAAUAAUAUAACAUUUAAAUUGCAUUUAAAAAUAAUAUAUAAAAAUUUAUAAAUCUUA